AGGCCGAGUAAAUGAUGCCCGUGAUGUAAAUAACUUGGCUCGGCUCACUGUCAGCUCUGUUGAAAAGGUGUUGAAUGGGUAGACUCCUCCAAUCCAUGCAGUAUGUUAAAUACUGUUGUAGGUCCUUAUGCAAAUGGGUGAACCUGCUAGUGUUUUAUCACAUAUCAUAUAUUUUACUCUAUUUUAUUCUCAUGGAACAGAAAACUUUAUUACUUUCUGAUUGGGGUGCAAACCGAGUGGAACUCGGCCCAGAAAUGUUCUUGACAUGAGCAAGAGAAGUCUAUGGAGUCAUUUUACCCAAAAGAAUAGG
Long non-coding RNA from Frankliniella occidentalis (western flower thrips), 310 nucleotides. RefSeq lists it as uncharacterized. The transcript has 2 exons. The record is from RefSeq and is a predicted model, not a curated record. NCBI's taxonomy places the organism in Eukaryota, Metazoa, Arthropoda, Insecta, Thysanoptera, Thripidae.